RNAcentral lists this ribosomal RNA (460 nucleotides) under uncultured bacterium. RNAcentral's name for it is "partial 16S ribosomal RNA". It matches the Rfam family "Bacterial small subunit ribosomal RNA", at positions 338 to 795 of the family's 1533-position model. The record is from RNAcentral.
CCUACGGGUGGCAGCAGUGAGGAAUAUUGGUCAAUGGACGAGAGUCUGAACCAGCCAAGUAGCGUGAAGGAUGACUGCCCUAUGGGUUGUAAACUUCUUUUAUAUGGGAAUAAAACGUUCCACGUGUGGGAUUUUGUAUGUACCAUAUGAAUAAGGAUCGGCUAACUCCGUGCCAGCAGCCGCGGUAAUACGGAGGAUCCGAGCGUUAUCCGGAUUUAUUGGGUUUAAAGGGAGCGUAGGUGGAUUGUUAAGUCAGUUGUGAAAGUUUGCGGCUCAACCGUAAAAGUGCAGUUGAAACUGGCAGUCUUGAGUACAGUAGAGGUGGGCGGAAUUCGUGGUGUAGCGGUGAAAUGCGUAGAUAUCACGAAGAACUCCGAUUGCGAAGGCAGUUCACUGGACUGCAACUGACACUGAGGCUCGAAAGUGUGGGUAUCAAACAGGAUUAGAUACCCCUGUAGUC